This is a long non-coding RNA of Labrus mixtus (cuckoo wrasse), 226 nucleotides long. RefSeq lists it as uncharacterized. Lineage: Eukaryota; Metazoa; Chordata; Actinopteri; Labriformes; Labridae. The transcript has 3 exons. The record is from RefSeq and is a predicted model, not a curated record.
UCUGAUUGGUUCUGGUACUUCCUGUUUUUAUUUGGUCUUUUUUCCAGAGCGUCCUGAGUCGACCAUGAAUGACAUGAUGUACUCUGUCGUCUCCGUCACAAAUAAGAAGACAGUGAGAGGAGAGGUCAACAAACCAGAAACAAACGAAGUAGUGUACGCUUCAGUCUCACAAUGACCAGAGUGACAGGAAACCGACUGAAGGAGACUCGACAAACCGCGAAUGAAU